AAGAUUCUAGUAAAACCAUUAUAUUAGUUUGUCAGGCUAAAGUUACGUUAGUGAUUCUUA
RNAcentral lists this transfer RNA (60 nucleotides) under Hyalella cajasi. Its description in RNAcentral is "tRNA-Asp". Lineage: Eukaryota; Metazoa; Arthropoda; Malacostraca; Amphipoda; Hyalellidae. The record is from RNAcentral.